Molecule: non-coding RNA, 26 nt
Filed under: Rattus norvegicus (Norway rat)
Lineage: Eukaryota; Metazoa; Chordata; Mammalia; Rodentia; Muridae
Source: RNAcentral
UGCUGCAGGCACAGAGCCAGUGGCGU